GACGAACGCUGGCGGCGUGCCUAAUACAUGCAAGUCGAGCGCAGAAAACUGACGGAACUCUUCGGAGGGAAGGCAGUGGAAUGAGCGGCGGACGGGUGAGUAACACGUAAGGAACCUGCCUCAAGGAUUGGGAUAACUCCGAGAAAUCGGAGCUAAUACCGGAUAGUUCAUCGGACCGCAUGGUCCGCUGAUGAAAGGCGCUCCGGCGUCACCUUGAGAUGGCCUUGCGGUGCAUUAGCUAGUUGGUGGGGUAACGGCCCACCAAGGCGACGAUGCAUAGCCGACCUGGGAGGGUGAUCGGCCACACUGGGACUGAGACACGGCCCAGACUCCUACGGGAGGCAGCAGUAGGGAAUCUUCCACAAUGGACGAAAGUCUGAUGGAGCAACGCCGCGUGAGUGAUGAAGGUUUUCGGAUCGUAAAACUCUGUUGUAAGGGAAGAACACGUACGAGAGGGAAUGCUCGUACCUUGACGGUACCUUACGAGAAAGCCACGGCUAACUACGUGCCAGCCGCCGCGGUAA
RNAcentral lists this ribosomal RNA (524 nucleotides) under uncultured bacterium. RNAcentral describes it as "partial 16S ribosomal RNA". It matches the Rfam family "Bacterial small subunit ribosomal RNA", at positions 28 to 523 of the family's 1533-position model. The record is from RNAcentral.